AGACAUGAUGCCGUUGGACUAUUUGUACCCUGGAUUACAGCUUGCAUGCCAUUACGCUCUUUCGUACACGCUUGCGGGGGUCGCGCCCCCCAAGCCCAGCACUCCGAAGUUGCUUAGCGACAGAUGCUCGCCUAUGUACGAAGUGAGCGCCGAAGUGGAUUGCCGUGGGGAGUGUACACUACCACGGGGCCAUUAGGCACCGCGCGGCUAUGACUUUACCUUUUGUGUAAGUCAA
Molecule: long non-coding RNA, 235 nt
Filed under: Ananas comosus (pineapple)
Lineage: Eukaryota; Viridiplantae; Streptophyta; Magnoliopsida; Poales; Bromeliaceae
Description: long non-coding RNA (ACOM_LNC005399)
Source: RNAcentral